AAUCAACGCUGGCGGCGUGCCUAACACAUGCAAGUCGAACGAGAAGGUGACUUCGGUCACUGGAUAGUGGCGUCCGGGUGAGUAACACGUAGGUAAUCUACCUUCGGGUGGGGAAUAACGUCUCGAAAGAGACGCUAAUACCGCAUAAUGCAGCGGCACCUAAUGGUGAUUAGUUGUUAAAGCGGGGGAGUCUUCGGACCUCGCGCCUGAAGAGGAGCCUGCGGCAGAUUAGCUAGUUGGUGAGGUAAUGGCUCACCAAGGCUUCGAUCUGUAGCUGGUCUGAGAGGACGGCCAGCCACACUGGCACUGACACACGGGCCAGACUCCUACGGGAGGCAGCAGUGGGGAAUUUUGGGCAAUGGGCGAAAGCCUGACCCAGCAACGCCGCGUGAAGGAGGAAAUCCUUCGGA
RNAcentral lists this ribosomal RNA (410 nucleotides) under uncultured bacterium. RNAcentral's name for it is "bacterial SSU rRNA". It matches the Rfam family "Bacterial small subunit ribosomal RNA", at positions 32 to 422 of the family's 1533-position model. The record is from RNAcentral.